GGACACACUCAACAGUCCCCUCUUUAAGGAUCAGAAAGCAGAGGCGGGGGGACACGCUCAGCUAACAGCUGGGGAGGCGAGAGUUGGGAUUCCAAUCCCCACUUUUCUUUCUUAUUUCUUCCCCCCCCUUUUUUUUUCUUUCUCCGAUUCAGCCCCUAGCCUGGGAACUUCCAUGUGCCACAUGCAGCCCUGAAAAGAAAAACAAAUCAAUUGACCGCUUACAUCUGGGUCUGUUUCUGAAGCCUGUUCUGCUCCAUUGACUUUAUAUGUCUACUCGUCUUUGGUCACGACUACAUUUUGACGACUUACUUUAAGGCUUGAAGUCAGUCAGAGUAAGUCCUUCAAGUGUGUUUUCCUUUCUAGGGUGUUCCCAUCGUGGCUCAGAGGAAACGAAUCUGACUAGCAUCCAUGAGGACGCAGGUUCAAUCUCUGGCCUCACUCAGUGGGUUAAGGAUCCGGUGUUGCCGUGAGCCGUGGUGUAGGUCGCAGAUGCGGCUUGGAUCCCACAUUGCUAUGGCUGUGGUGUGGGAACCUCCAUAUGCGAGGGUGUGGCCCUAAAAAGACAAAAAAGACCUCCAAAACUUCCUUUUCCUUUCUCAAAACAGUCUUUCCACCCAUGACGACAGCAUAUUCUUUGAUUUAUUUGGGGUCUGAUUUCUUUCAUCAGGGUUUUGUAGUUUCAGCACAUAGAUCUUGUACAUAUUUUGGAAGAUUUAUAUCUAACUAUUUCAUGUAUUUUGGUGCUAUUAUAAAUGACGCUAUUUUAAAAAAUUCCUUUUCCAAUGGUUUACUGCAGCCAUAGAGAAAUAAAAUUGAAUUUCUGUAUGUAGACCGUGUAUCCUUCAGAAAAAAAGUUUUCUUCAAAAAAAGUCCUUAGAGUUUUCCUACCUAGUCGAUCUGGUCUUUAGUGAAUAAAGACAGUUUUACUCCUUUUUUUUUUUUGGCCACGCCCACAGCAUGUGCAAAUUCCCAGGCCAGGGAUUGAACCUGAGCCACAGAGCAGGGACCACACUGGAUCUUGAACUUGCUGAGCCACCCUGGAACUCCAGUUAUACUCUUUCUUUUCCAAUCUAAAGAUUUUUUUGCCUAACUGCACGGUCUGGGACCUCCCAUAGGACAGCGGGCCAAUCAAAAUGAUGAGUGCGUAGUGAGAGGCUGUCCCUGGAAAAAGCUGCAUGAAGGGAACACAGCAGCACUACACCUGUGUGCAACUUCUUCGCGGUUUAAAAUGACUUCAAAAUAAAAAGUUCAGUGGCAGGGAAACAGCGGAGAAAGCUAACAUUCUUGCCUUACUCCCAGGCUUCAAAGGAGAAACAGUCUUUCCAAAAAAAAAGAAGAAUGAUUAACUGCAGGUUUUUCACAGAUGCCCUUUAAAGAAGUUCCUUUUUUUUUUUUAAUGCACAUUUAAAAAAAUUAAAGAAUGGUUGAUAAGAAGUUCCGUUUAUUCCUAGUUUACUAAAAGUGUUCUGCUUGUUUUUACAUCAAAAGUGAGUACUGGAUUUUGUCGAAUGCCUUUCCUGUGUCUUUUGAGAUUAUAUCGUUUUUCUUCUUAGCUCUUAACGUGGUAAAUGAUGUGGAUUUUAGAAUAUUAAACCAAACUUGCAUUCUUGGGGUAAAUCGCACUUUGUCGUGAAGUGUGACAUUUCAUUUUUGUAUGUUCUUGGAUUCAACUGGCUAAAUUUUUGCCAAGGAUUUUUGCCUCUAUGUUCUUGAAACACUGGUCUAUAUUUUUCUUUUAUACUUGUCUGCUUUUAGUAUCGGGGUGGUGGUGUCCUCAUAAAACGAACUGGGAGGAGCUCCCAGUUCUUAAAAUCAUGGAGGAUUUUGUGUUGGUUUGUUACGACCUCUUCCUUAAAUGCUUGGAACAAUUUACCAUUUGGGCUUGGAAUUUUCUUUUGCGUGAGGGCAUUUUGCUUUUGCUUUGCUCAAAUCUUUUAACAAUUUGAUUAAGGUGCAAUUUACCUUGAAAUUUACCAAUUUAAAGCAUAAGAAGAUGGGAUUACCACUUGGAAGGAAAUUAAUCUCAUUUUUUCCACCCCUGUCCUGGGAGACCUUUAACUGCAUGCCUGAGUGCCAGGCAGGCAUGAGUUGCUGAAGUCCAGUGUACUUCAGCUUCUUAAAAGUCAAGAGCUGAUUUCCGGCCCCUCCUUCCUCCUGCGCUGCUCCUCACUUGCUGCUCUGGCCUCAGCCGACGAGCUCCGGCUUCCCAUCCCACCCGCCUCCUGGGACUGUUCUCCAGAGCAUCGCCAAGAACACCACGUCCCCUCGGGGCUCGGCCCACGGACAUGCCUCAGACCCUUGUACUUGACCUUCUGCAGAGCUUGCUGGUUGACCCUCUUCCCUGGCUGUCCCGGUCCCCACAGGAAACAGGCGGCUCUUUAUAAGGCGUGCGUAACCGGGGGUAGGGACACCACAGGUGCAGCUGGGAUCUGGAGCUAUCGCCACUCCUGGGUCGGAAGGGACAGCGGCAGUGCAGGAGGCAGCCCUGGGGAGGGAACCGGGGCCUCCCAGCUCACCCCUCACCUUCUGCCAGUCUGGGCCCAUCCAGAGGGCACUAACGGGUGUGACUCAGGCAGCCUCUGGGGACGCAGAGCAGGGCAGAGGGAUGGAGAAGGAGGGUGAUUCCACCCACCCCGAUGUCCUCCAGAAAAGGCCUCUCCUUUACCAGCCUCUCAGGGCAUCCUGGGCCCCGUGGGUCCUGCGGGAUGAUCUCCUUUGUUCCGAAGGCCCAUCAGGCACCGUAAUGACACCCACACCAGUUCAGACCUCUCACGGGAGCUCCAAUCUCCGGUACGUCCAACAAAAUGGGUGCGUGGGGGAUAGGUAAGUGUCAGGUAAUUUUCUACGCCCCUUCUGUGUAUGGAUUCACUUACUGUUCACGAGAGCUCUGUGAAGUGGCUCCGUUACGCUCACCCUUGAUUACAUGGAAGUGUCAGAGCCAGGACUGGAAUCGGGGGGUGACUCAGAGCCUAUGUUCUUUUUUUUUAAGGCCGUACCUGCAGCAUAUGGACAUUCCCAGGCUAGGGGUCAAAUUGGAGCUGUACACCAAAUUGGAGCCUACACCACAGCCACAGCAACCCUGGACCUGAGCCGCAUCUGCGACCUAUGCCACAGCCUGCAGCAACGCGGGAUCCUUAACCCACCGAGCGAGGCCAGUGAUUGAACCCACAUUCUCACAGAGACUGCAUCGGGUGCUUAACCCACUGAGCCACAAUGGUUACUCUUAGAGCCACUUAACCCCUCUGAUCAAAGGCGCAUCUUCAGACUUCAGGAAAAGUUGGGCUAGGUGACAUGGUUUCCAGAAAGCCUUAGUCAGCAAAGGUCCAUGGGUCCCUGUCCCAGGAACUCUCAUGGCACAUCGGAGGCCUGUGCCUAGAAGGCUCCAGCUUGCUCCUCGCCAGGACCACCUCCCAUCCCCCGAGGGAGCGCGUCCUUCCCUGAAUAGCCAAUACAGACCAGAAGACAAAGAGAAUUCACUUUAUUGUUUACAAAACAAUGGCUCCAGCAGGAAGGAAAACAAUCAUUAACCUUAGAGCAGCGAGUGUAAAGGCUAGAUUUAAAAUAACUGAAAAUCUUCGACCGUGUGGAAGGGGUGCUUCGGGGCGCCUUGGCCGUGGGUCUCAGCUCAGUGACUGCCCCGAGUCCUCCAACCGUCCUGAUGCCAUCUCCGUAUUUUGAAAACCACACAAGCCCAAUGUCCUGGACCUUCCUCGAGGAGGUGGGUCAGGAAGCUUUCGGGCUAUGUCCAGUGACAGCCAGUUCUGGAGAAGUGUGUCACGUUCAAAAAGCUUGUUUUCUGUUCUUCUGUGACUUGUUUCAUAGAUGAAGGAACACAACCAGCGCAAGAACAAGGGGUCCUUCCUGGCUCCAAGCGGCGGUGUCAGAGGUUCGAAGUGGGAGAAGUCGGUGAAACGGGGUCCGCAUGGUGACAGCCAGAGCCUGAGAGCCGCCCCCCCCCCACCAUCACCAACUCUACAUUCUGCUGGGGGUGAGGUAGCUUCUGCGCGAGGGCACCACAGGCUGAUGGCAGCUGCCCUUGUCGGCUUCCGCUCUGGCCGACCUCUGCACCGGACCCUCUGCCUUCACCCUGGAUCGUGGAGAAGAGGCCACAGGGACCGAGACACGUCGAGGUGUGCAUGAAGGGUUCCAGGGAGAAGAGACUGCAAAACUCCCCCAGGGAAGAGGCGAAAGCAAAGACAGACACUGCAGCGCCAGGCAGGCCCAUCCGCACCUCCGGUAAAGGCGCCCAGCGCCCGUGCUGGUGCAGGGCCGCCAGAACCCAGGGCCCCACUCGGGCAGGAAGUACAAAUUCCAGUCACUCGCGGCAGUCUUCAAAGGCGUGGCGUUUCUGACAGUCGCGAGGAAAAGGCCAAGCAUCCUCACCCUCAGCUUGGUGUCCUUGGGCCAAGGACUAAGAAACGCCUGGAAGUGCCUUGCCAACUGGAACUGCUUAACUGCCAUUUCUUGGAAUGAAUUUGUUGACUGCAAGACUCUGCUCUGCUAAGACUUGGCGAUUCCAUUUUAUAAGAAGGGAAACUACUGUCAUUAAUAUAUGUUAAUAAUUAAAACUUCAAAGUGCUACACAG
Molecule: long non-coding RNA, 4586 nt
Filed under: Sus scrofa (pig)
Lineage: Eukaryota; Metazoa; Chordata; Mammalia; Artiodactyla; Suidae
Description: lncRNA (ENSSSCG00005032856.1)
Source: RNAcentral